ACGGCCUCAGAUCAGAUGUGGCGACCCUCUGAAUUUAAGCAUAUUACUAAACGGAGAAAAAGAAACUAACCAGGAUUCCCUCAGUAACCGCCAGGGAAGAGCCCAGCGCUGAAUCCCCAUUCAGCUGCAGGCGUGGGAAAUGUGGCGUACAGAAGACCGACUCCCCGGCAUCGCCCAGGGGGCUGUAGUCCUUCUGAUCGAGUCUCAGCUCGUGGACGGUGUUAGGCCGGUAGUGGCCUUUGGCACGCCGGGAUCAGGUCUUCUUGGAGUCAGGUUGCUUGGGAAUGCAUCCCAAAGCAUGUGGUAUACUCAUCUAUGGCUAAAUACGGGCGCGAGACAGAUGCCUAACAAGUACCGUAAGGGAAAGUUGAAAAGAACUUUGGGGAGAGUUCAAGAGGAUGUGAAACAGUAGAGUAAACAGGUCUGUGCAGUCCGCCCUAGCUUUCAACACAGCAGGCAGGUCGCCUGGAAUGGUGGAUGCCCUUGCAGGACUGCAGCCCGGGCAGUGCACCACGACGGGCUUGGAAGGCCCCAGGGAGCAGGUGGCUCUCUGCUCCGGCAGAGUGUUACAGUCCCCUGAGAGCAGGUUUGCUGUGUCUGCGGGGCCGAGGGAGAUUGCCCACUGCCGUGCCCUUCUCCAGGAGCUCCCGAUGUGACUGGUGGACUGCCCGUAGUGCGCCCUGACCAUGUCGUGCCGCUGGGCGGGGAGGCCCACAAAGGGCGCCAGGGGUCUGAGUUGAUGUCGGGUAACCACCCGACCUGUCUUGAAUCUCUAGCCAAGGAGUCUUCACACGUGGGCGAGUCGGAGAUCUGACUGAAACCCUGUGGUGCAAAGAAGGUGAGGGCCGGCGCAUGCCGAUUGCGGUGGGAUCCCGUUGCGGUGGACGCACCGCCGACCCGUCUCUCAGGGAGAUGGAGCAUGAGCGUGUGUGAUAGGACCCGAAAGAUGGUGAACUAGUCCUGGUGGAGGUCCGUAGCGGUCCUGAUGUGUAAAUCUGUCAUCGACCCGGGUAUAGGGGCCAAUGUCUAAUAGAACCAUCUUGUAACUGAGUUUCCCCUCAGGAUAGCUGGCGCACAGAAACCCCAGUUUUAUCUGGUGAGGCGAAUUAUUAGAGGUCUAUUCUCAAACUUUAAAUGGGUAAGAAGCCUGGCUCGCUGGUGGGAAGCCGGCAUUAAAUUUCAAGUGGGCAGAACUGCCACUGCGGGAUGAAGCGAAUGGCAUAUUAAGGCGCCCGAUGCCGACACUCGUCCAACCCCAGAAAAGGUGUUGGUUGAUAUAUACAGCAGGAUGGUGGCCACGGAAGUCAGAAUCCGCGAAGGAGCCCCGGGGCGUGCUCUCUUUACUUUGAAGGGCUGGGCACCCUGGAAUGGUUUAGUCCUGAGAGAGGGGCCAGAGCCUUGGAAAGCAUUGCGGUUGCAGCGGCGUGCAGUGAGCUCUUGCUGGUCCUUGAAAUUCCGGGGGAGAUGGUGUACAUUUUCGCGCUGGGCCGUACCCAUAUCCCCAGCAGGUCUCCAAGUUGAACAGCCUCUGGCAUGUUGGAACAAUGUAGGUAAGGGAAGUCGGCAAGUCAGAUCUGUAACUUCGGGAUAAGUAUUAGCUCUAAGGGCUGGGUCGGUCGGGCUGGGGCCAGAAGCAGGGUCGGACACGUGCCGCGGCUGGAGGAGGUGUCUGAUCCUCCCCGGGGGCAGCGCCCCAGCUGCGGUGGUUGCCUCUCUGUUCCCCUCCCGGCGUUUCUAGGCUGACGUUCUGCCUCGGCCAACGCCUAGCAGCUGACUUAGAACUGGUGCGGACCAGGGGAAUCUGACUGUCUACUUAAAACAAAGCAUUGUGAAGGCCUGCGAUGGGUGGACACAAUGUGAUAUCUGCCCUGUGCUCUGAAUGUCAAAGUGAAGAAAUUCAAUGAAGCGCAGGUAAACGGCAGGAGUAACUAUGACUCUCUUAAGGUAGCCAAAUACCCUGUCCUCUAAUUUGUGACACGCAUGAAUGGAUGAAUGAGAUUCCCACUGUCCCUACCUACUAUCUAGUGAAACCACAGCCAAGGGAACAGACUUGGCAGAAUCACUGGGGAAAGAAGACCCAAUCAAGGGUGCCUCUAGUCUGGCACUGUGAAGAGACGGGAGGUGUAGGAUAAGUGGGAGGCCCUCGGGCCGCUGGUGAAAUACCACUACUUAUCGUUUUUUCACUUACCCGGUGAGGUGGGGGGUGAGCCCGGUGGGGGCGAGCCCAGUGGGGCGCACACUGCUGGUUCCAAGCGCCCGCCGUGCGGACCGCUCCGGGGACAGUGGCAGAAACGAUAACGCAGGUAUUUUAAGGCAAACUCAGGGAGGACAGAAACCCGUAAAUUCCCCUCCUCCCCCCAUGAAGCAGAAGGGCAAAAGCUUGCUUUAUCUCGAUUUUCAGUAUGAAUACAGACCGUGAAAGCGGGGCCUCACGAUCCUUCUGACGUUCUGGGUUUCAAGCAAGCAGGAGGUGUCAGAAAAGUUACCACAGGGAUUACUGGCUUGUGGGGGCCAAGCGUUCAUAGUGACGUCGCUUUUUGAUCCUUUGAUGUCUGCUCUUCCUAUCAUUGUGAAGCAAAGUUCACCAAGCAUUGGAUUGGUCACCCACUAAUAGGGAACGUGAGGUGGGUUUAGACCGUACUGAGACAGGUUAGUUUUACCCUACUGGUGAUGUGUUGUUGCAAUAGUAUUCCUUCUCAGUACAAGAGGAACCGCAGGUUCAGACAUUUGGUGUAUGUGCUUGGCUGAGGAGUCAAAGGGGCGAAGCUACAAUCUGUGGAAUUAUGACUGAACGCCUCGAAGUCAGAAUACCCCCCUAAACCGUAACGAUACCGCAGUGCUGUCAAUCCUCGGUUGGCCUAGGAUAGCCGGCCUUUGGGCCGGUGCAUAGAGCCGGUCACCUCGGGACUAGAGUGUGGACAGAAGGGGGCCACCUCUCUCGCCCGUAGUGCACCGCAUGUUCGUGGGGAACCUGGUGCAAAAUCAUUCGUAGACAACCUGAUUCUGGUUCAGGGUUUCAUAAGUAGCAGUGCAGCUACCUCGCUGCUAUCUAUUGAAAGUCAUCCUC
RNAcentral lists this ribosomal RNA (3067 nucleotides) under Ambystoma mexicanum (axolotl). Its description in RNAcentral is "eukaryotic LSU rRNA". It matches the Rfam family "Eukaryotic large subunit ribosomal RNA". Lineage: Eukaryota; Metazoa; Chordata; Amphibia; Caudata; Ambystomatidae. The record is from RNAcentral.